This 69-nucleotide transfer RNA is filed under the name Xenoturbella japonica. RNAcentral describes it as "tRNA-Asp". It matches the Rfam family "tRNA". From Rfam's summary of the family: Transfer RNA (tRNA) molecules are approximately 80 nucleotides in length. Their secondary structure includes four short double-helical elements and three loops (D, anti-codon, and T loops). Further hydrogen bonds mediate the characteristic L-shaped molecular structure. tRNAs have two regions of fundamental functional importance: the anti-codon, which is responsible for specific mRNA codon recognition, and the 3' end, to which the tRNAs corresponding amino acid is attached (by aminoacyl-tRNA synthetases). tRNAs cope with the degeneracy of the genetic code in two manners: having more than one tRNA (with a specific anti-codon) for a particular amino acid; and 'wobble' base-pairing, i.e. permitting non-standard base-pairing at the 3rd anti-codon position. The record is from RNAcentral. Lineage: Eukaryota; Metazoa; Xenacoelomorpha; Xenoturbellidae.
AACAAUUUAGUUUAAUUAAAACACUUGAUUGUCAAUCAAGAAAAACUACCCGCCUGUUAGUAAUUGUUA